RNAcentral lists this ribosomal RNA (1790 nucleotides) under human gut metagenome. RNAcentral describes it as "bacterial LSU rRNA". It matches the Rfam family "Bacterial large subunit ribosomal RNA", at positions 213 to 1984 of the family's 2925-position model. The record is from RNAcentral.
GAGGAACAGUAAUCAAACGAGAUUUUCUUAGUAGCGGCGAGCGAACGGGAAAGAGGCCAAACCGGAGCGGGCAACCGCACCGGGGUUGAGGACAGUCAUCAAGUGUAAAUGAGGUAGAAGAAUCGAGCUGGAAAGCUCAGCCGCAGAAGGUGAAAGCCCUGUAAUCGAAACCUUGCAUACAUGGGACUGUAUCCAGAGUACCACGAGACACGUGAAACCUUGUGGGAAGCAGGGGGGACCACCCUCCAAGCCAAAAUACUGAUAUCGACCGAUAGCGCAUAGUACCGUGAGGGAAAGGUGAAAAGAACCCCUGGCGGGGAGUGAAAGAGAACCUGAAACCGUAUGUCUACAAACAGUCGAAGUCUGUAUAUAUAUCAGGACGACGGCGUGCCUAUUGAAGAAUGAACCGACGAGUUACUGUUGCUAGCGAGGUUAAGUGGAAAACAUGGAGCCGCAGCGAAAGCGAGUCUGAACAGGGCGUUCAGUUAGUAAUAGUAGACCCGAAACCGUAGUGAUCUAUCCAUGGCCAGGUUGAAGCACAGGUAAAAUUGUGUGGAGGACCGAACUCGUGAGCGUUGAAAAGCUUUGGGAUGAGUUGUGGAUAGGGGUGAAAUGCCAAUCGAACACGGAGAUAGCUGGUUCUCCCCGAAAUAGCUUUAGGGCUAGCCUCGAGGUAGAGAGUAUAGGCGGUAGAGCACUGAUCGGGCUAGGGGCCAUACCGGUUACCGAACCUAGUCAAACUACGAAUGGCUAUACUUAUACUCGGGAGUCAGACAGUGAAUGAUAAGGUCCAUUGUCAAGAGGGAAACAGCCCAGAACACCGACUAAGGUCCCCAAUGUUACACUAAGUGGCGAAGGAUGUGGAAUUUCCAAAACAACCAGGAUGUUGGCUUAGAAGCAGCCACCAUUUAAAGAGUGCGUAAUAGCUCACUGGUCGAGAGACUCUGCGCCGAAAAUGUCCGGGGCUAAAGUGUAAAACCGAAGUCGUGUCAUAUGCAGCAAUGUAUAUGGGUAGGGGAGCGUUCUCAUCGGGCUGAAGCAGUACCGUAAGGAGUUGUGGACUGAUGAGAAGUGAGAAUGUCGGUAUGAGUAGCGAAAAGAAUGGUGAGAAUCCAUUCCACCGAAAGCCUAAGGGUUCCUGAGCAACGAUCGUCGUCUCAGGGUAAGUCGGGACCUAAGCCGAGGCGGAAAAGCGUAGGCGAUGGACAACAGGUUGAAAUUCCUGUACCGGUGUGAAUCGUUUGAUCGAUGGAGUGACACAGUAAGGUAGGUCAGCACGCGAUUGGAAGAGCGUGUUUAAGCAGGUAGGUUGAGCUAUAGGCAAAUCCGUAGCUCUAAAAGCUGAGAUGUGAUGACGAGUGACUAGCAAUAGUCGCGAAGUGAUUGAUCCUACACUGUCGAGAAAAGCUUCUAGGUAGAGACACAUCGCCCGUACCAAAACCGACACAGGUAGGCGGGGAGAGAAUCCUAAGGUGCGCGGGAAAACCCUCGUUAAGGAACUCGGCAAAAUGCCUCCGUAACUUCGGGAAAAGGAGGACUCAUGUAGUGUGAAGAGCAGAAGCGCUUGGAGCAUGAAUGAGUGGCACAAGAGAGGCGCAAGCGACUGUUUACCACAAACACAGGUGCCUGCUAAAGCGAAAGCUGAUGUAUAGGUGCUGACACCUGCCCGGUGCUGGAAGGUUAAGAGGAGGGGUUAGACUUCGGUCGAAGCUCUGAAUUGAAGCCCCAGUAAACGGCGGCCGUAACUAUAACGGUCCUAAGGUAGCGAAAUUCCUUGUCGGGUAAGUUCC